Molecule: ribosomal RNA, 253 nt
Filed under: uncultured bacterium
Lineage: Bacteria
Description: partial 16S ribosomal RNA
Rfam family: Bacterial small subunit ribosomal RNA
Source: RNAcentral
UACGAAGGGGGCUAGCGUUGUUCGGAAUUACUGGGCGUAAAGCGCACGUAGGCGGAUAUUUAAGUCAGGGGUGAAAUCCCAGAGCUCAACUCUGGAACUGCCUUUGAUACUGGGUAUCUCGAGUAUGGAAGAGGUGAGUGGAAUUCCGAGUGUAGAGGUGAAAUUCGUAGAUAUUCGCAAGAACACCAGUGGCGAAGGCGGCUCACUGGCCCGAUACUGACGCUGAGGCACGAAAGCGUGGGGAGCAAACAGG